This 282-nucleotide long non-coding RNA is filed under the name Fukomys damarensis (Damara mole-rat). RNAcentral describes it as "lncRNA (ENSFDAG00000022165.1)". The record is from RNAcentral. Lineage: Eukaryota; Metazoa; Chordata; Mammalia; Rodentia; Bathyergidae.
UCCAGGGAUCUUUUCCUGCAGAUCAAGGCAUCCUCUUCUAUGUUCCUGCCUGGCAGGAUUUCCCAGCUGUUAACAAGCUCCUCUUCUGGGAAGUGGGAGCUCCAGCCCUGCUCUAGACUUUUUCUUGCCUUCAGCUUCAAGCAUGUAUUUAUGAAGUGCCCAUCAUAGUCCAGAUACCAGUACUGGUGACUACUGAGGAAAAAAAGGCCACCUUGAGCGCAGAGAUCCUUUUUUUAAGGAGUGUGAAGAAAUGAACACUAGCUUGCCACAUGUGAGUUGACC